GCUAGUCACAGCCCAUUAACCAUCUGUUCCUCUAUUAAGCAACCUUCUUUAUAUAAUGUAAGUAUUUAAUUUUAAUAAACUUUAUCUACCACGCAUUUAUCUUAGACAUAAUAAGGAACUAUUGAGAGCAUGGUCAAUGGGCCAUGUAAAAACCAUCAUAUUUUUGAUAGAAUAGCUUCUGUGUAAGGCAAGGGGGGGGGAAUCUACCCCAAGAGUAGUUUUCAAAUAGCUUUAAGAAAAAAUAGUAUUUUCUUAACUUCAGCAUGAUCAAAAGGGGAGGAAAGGCCAUAUUCUGAGAUAAUUAAUGCUUAAAUGCAGAAUGGCACUGGAGAAGCCUUGCUUUUUGCUAUGAAGAUCAGCACAGUGAUCAAUUUAGAUUGCAUUUCAGAGACACCAAAUCUCACAUCUUCUUGGCAGUACUUAGUGAUGGCUAUUCCCCCACCCUCAAGAGCUUUGUCAGCCGGUCUUAUGAAUUGUACAUCAUCCAACCAUAGCAGAUACUGCAGCGCUAUAGUUAAACAUUCUAAAGUGACUUGAAAUCAAUUGGAAGCCUAGCUUUAUACAGAUAUCAUCCAAAUUCACAGCAGAGCUCUUCAAGUGUGGGUAUAUUAGCCAAAGAAGGAAGAAUAAAAGAUUUUGACUUUUGUAUAUAUACACAGCUUUGGAUGUGAUGAGGUUUUUGCCAUUAGGCACCUAGGUUCAGCCAUCGUGCUAGUGUAUGUUAUUAUUAACAAUACUAUUAAUAAUGCUGAUGCAUAUAAUUGCAGCACUUUUCCUCUCGUAGGAGGGCCAGCAGUAGGGAACUCCUGCACGGAGUAUCAUAAAGAGGAGUGGGAGAAAAGGAUGGGUUGCUUUACUGUAUUAUAUUAUAGUUUCCAAAUGUACAUGAAGUUGUAAUACAAGCAAAAGCAAAACUCCCAGAAAGGAGUUUCAAGGAGCUUACAUCUAAUUCAACUUAAUUUUGGCAGAUGGAUAGAAAUAUUAUUAGUAGCAUAAGUAUUGGUAUUAUUAUAAUAUUUAUAUUUAUACCCCUCCUUUUUCCCCUGACAAGGAUUCAAGAUGGCUUACAGGUAAAAAUAAGAACAGCCAAAAACAUUGAGAGAAAAAGCACAAUAAUUGAAAAACAUAUAUAUAAUUAAAACACACACACACACAAUCUAUUAAAAAGAGACAGAUAAUUACAAGUAACAAAAUAGUACAGAAUCAGCCCUUUCAUUAAAAACAGUCAGUUCCCAGAAGCCUGUUGGACAGAAGGCUUCAUCUGCCAAUGGAAGGACAACAAGGAAGGAGCCAGUCUGGCUUCUCUAGGGAGGGGGUCCCAAAGUUGUCUGGGAGCAGCCACCACCAAGAAGGCCCUCUCCUGUUUCCCAGCCCAAUGGACUUGUGAAGGUGUGGGGCUGAGGGAAGGCCCUCUUCUGAAGUUCCCAGGCAGAUUUGUAUGAGGGAAUAUGGCAUCUCAGAUAUACCAUAUUCCCACCUGUGAGGUGGGUCAGGCCAAGAAAUGAUGGGUAGCUGAACAUCAACCAGGGAGCAUCAUAACUAAAAGAGGCUUGUACUGAGUCUCUACUUCAGCAUGGCAUGUAUUGCACAUGCACACCACACGGGCUCUUAUUUGUCAGAAUCAACUGCUGAGAACUCUCUCUUCCAGUGUGCCAAUCACUUCCCUCUGGCAUAAUCCCAAGCGCGUGUAUGGGGUGUUGGGAGAGGAGUACAGUGGUACCUUGGUUCUCAAACACCUUGGUACUCAAACAACUUGGAACCCAAACACUGCAAACCCAGAAGUAAAUGUUCUGGUUUGAGAACUUUUUUCAGAAGUCGAAAGUGCUCCGUUUUGAGUAUUACACUUCCGUUUUGAGUGUUACGCUGCCGUCUGUCUGUUUUGCUAUUUCUGUGAGUUUUUGUUUUUGCUGCUCUUUUUUGUUUUGUUUUUGGGACAGUGUGGUACCCAGUUCAGCUACUGAUCGAUUGAUUGUGUAACUGCAGUACAUUGUUUAUUGCUUUCAUUUUAUGGAUCAAUGGCCUUGUUAUAUAGUAAAAUUCAUGUUAAACUGCUGUCUUUUUUUAAAAAAGAAUUUUUAUUAUGUUUUCAUUUACCAAAUUAAACAUAUCAAGCCAAUUAAUCCAAAUUAUAACAAUACACAUCAUAUAAUCCAAUUAUUUCCCAAUUGUAAAUUUUUUGUGGGGGGUACCCAUGCUUCUUGAUCGGCAGGAGUCCAAUCCUCGAAUAUUUCUGCUGCUUUCAUAUUUACAAUGAUAUUUUCAGUCCCUCUUCUCAGUCCUUGUCGUUACGCAUUUUCCUUUUCAUUCACCUCCGAAUUAUCUCCGCAAGUGGGUUAAAAAAAACAGUUAUUUAUAUUUCUGUGUGGAUUCUGUAUUGCUCUCUCGUGAAUCACUCUCAUCCAAUAGUCCAGGCGUUUCCGCUCGAGCGGGCAAUCGCCAUCUUGUCAUUCCGAUGAAAUACAGUCUAAAAGCCCACUCGCUAACUUUCCAGACCUGUUGCAUCGUAAAUUAGUCUUUUCCAGGAGGGCUGCCUCUUCCGGUUCACAAUUCCAUCAGAUAACAAAUCUUCGGCUCGCCCUCCCUAAGACCAAACUCCCUGCAACAGGUGUCUGUCCUUCUGUAUCAAAUCUCAAUUCUUGCUGCCUCACAAAGAGAGCCUUUGUUUUUCCAAGUCCUUCACAGAAUAAAACCUUUAAAUUCAUAUUAUUUUUCCCCACACAGCUCAUUUUUAACCCCAUUUGCCAAUUAGUUAUUGUGACGGAUCUUCUGAGGGGGAGGAUUAUUAGGCAAUCACAUGAAACAAGAAAUAAAAAGUCAUUUCCCCCCCCUUCCAUUCCGUUGCCUUCCACAUACCAGCAUGUCUGUAGUACUUUGAUGUAAUCUUCCAUCUCAAUUUUCUUCCUUUCAGUGGCCAAAUUAUUAGCAGAUAAAACCUCCUGCCUUUCUCGAAGCAUGUGCGUUAGCUUUCUCCAAAUUUUUCCUUUUAAGUAACGCAACUAGUUUCGCUCCUGGAAGCAGCUUCGGAGCAGUGCCGAAACCCACCAAGGGUUGUGCACCCAGUGCCUCACACCCCCUCCUUCUUCCGAACUUGGGGGUGAUUUAUGGCAACCACGGGUGAAAACUGCAUCUUUCCAUUCCCUGGAGAGACAAAGGAGACUGAUUUACUCCCCAUAAUCAGCCUCAAAUUACCUCAUGCGGGCUGGAUAGAUGGUAUUAUCCGCCAUCUUCCAAGGCGGCCCUAGCGCCCCCCCCAUGUUAAACUGCUGUCUUAGGUGUUUUUUUAAAAGUCUGGAACAGAUCAAUCCAUUUUCCAUUACUUUCUAUGGGAAAGUGCGCCUUGGUUUUGGAACGCUUUGGUUUUGGAACGGACUUCUGGAACUGAUUAAGUUUGAGAACCAACGUACCGCUGUAGUACCUCUGGUGGCUAAACAUGCUUCUUCUCAGGUGGCUUGCCUACCUUUGGUCUGCAUCCUGCAUCCAGCACCCAGACACGUGUGCCAACUCUAGGGGGCCUGGUGGCACAUGAUGCGCGAACAUGAUGCCACACGUGGUGCACAAUCCAGUUUCAGUGGCCGGCUCCUCCAGAGUGCUCGGCCUUCUCCAGAAGAAGUGGCAUCAUGACACAUGUCAAGCGCAUGAUGUCACACAUUCAAGACGCGUGAACUAGGGACUUCCCGUGCAUGCAAAGACAUGCUCUGGUGGGUCGAGCAAACAAGACCAGUUGUGGGUCCAAUAAGAAAGAAGCAAGAUUCUGCACUUGCUGUAGAGGGAAGUGAGGGGCAGGUGAGGCUCAUCCACCUGGGAAGGUAGCCCAUCUAGGAGAAGGAAAACUCUGAUCCUAAACCUCCACUGCCUUGCAGGACAUCUUUGGGAGAAGAAAAGGCUCAGCAGUAAACCCUACACAAAUCCAGAAUGGAGUCCCUACAGUGGUUGGAUGGCACCUUGUACUCCUCCUUUUGGCAACUCCUGCAGCCAAGCUGGUGCCAAAUGUAUCGCUCUGCUUACCUUUGGAUCACAUCAGAGAGGCCAAGAGGGAGGUCUUGUCUUUUGGGCAGCCCAGAACCUCCAUACACACUGCACAGGCCGGCGCCCCAGGGAGGUCACUUUGGUGACGCUAACACAGUGGUUUGACGUUGUCCCUAGAGGUGCACUCCAUUGUCUCUUGAGAUAGACAGAUAAUAACAACAACAAUUUAUUAUUUAUACCCCACCCAUCUGGCUGGGUUUCCCAGCCACUCUGGGUGGCUUCCAGCCGAAUAUUAAAAACUAUACAGCCUCAGACACUAAAAACUUCCCUAAAGAGGGCUGCCUUCAGUUGUCUUUUAAAAGUAAAAUAGUUGUUUAUUGCCUUGACAUCUGCCGGGAGGGCGUUCCACAGAGCAGGCACCACUACCGAGAAGGCCCUCUGCCUGGUUCCCUGUAACCUCACUUCUUGCAGCGAGGGAACCACCAGAAGGCCCUUGGCGCUGGACCUGAUGGGGGUGGAGAUGCUCUUUCAGGUAUACUGGGCCAAGGCUGUUUAGGGAUUUAAAGGUCAGCACCAACACUUUGAAUUGUGCUCAAAAACAUACCGGGAGCCAAUGUAGGUCUUUCAAGACCGGUGUUAUAUGGUCUCGGCGGCCACUCCCAGUCACCAGUGUAGCUGCCGCAUUCUGGAUUAAUUGCAGUUUCUGUGUCACCUUCAAAGGUAGCCCCACGUAGAGCGCAUUGCAGUAGUCUAAGCGGGAGAUAACUAGAGCAUGCACCACUCUGGCGAGACAGUCCAUGGGCAACAACAACAGUCCCAUGUGUCUGCAACAAAGUCGAUGGCUAUUCAGUCACCGUCAGGUUGAAAAUAUCCACAUGACAGGCCCCACCAGUGGUCCUUUGCCCCUACCUACCCAGUGGCAUGGGUGCUGCUUCCCUGUAGAGGGAUACUUGCCACUGCUGCACUGGGUGCUGUCAGAAAGAAGGAGACUCUUAGGUGCAAUGCUUGGGAUUCACUGAGGCAGCAUUGACUGCGGCAAAAAAUAUUACUUUCCAGUGCUCCAGGUCUUCUUCAAAUCAGACACAUAAUGGCAAAACAGAUGAUUUUCAUAGACGUUGGGGUUAUUUUAUCAGUUAAAACAUGUUGUCUUUCUCCUGAAGGUUAGCAAGAAGUAUUUCGUGGGAGUUGCCAUAGGAACCUUGCACACACAAAACUGAAUGUAAAAAGAAAUUUUAUGGUGAGCUGAAAGGAACGGCAGAUGAAGGAAGGGAGGUUACAAACCCUCUCUAUAAAUCAUUUACAGAACAUUUAAAAUGGGGCAAUAAAACUGACAGACUUUUUUUUCUUUUGAUCUUGGGCCUUCUGUUGAGCAAAAUGUUCAAGAUAGAUUUCACCUUGUGUUAACAACGAGUUACUUCUCACAAAACUUUUGCAAAAUCUGUGUGCCUCUUGGCAAUUAUGAAAGGCAUAUAUAUAAACUGCCACUUUUCUUAGCAAAGCUACAGUAUUUUUUUGCAUAUCUUAUUGAGUCUGGUUAUUUCUCUAGAAGGGAAACCAUUGCAUUGCAUAAAAAUAACAGACUCUGAUGGUUUCUAAACAUGUGCCCCCCCCAAAAAAACACACAAAGGUCCAUGGAGCAAAACAUGGUGGUUCCAUCCAUUUCUAAUGGACAUUGUGAUGGAAAAAACCAGACUCAGCAGAGGCACAUAACUCCUCUGCUUUUGACAGAAGAAACUCUAGCCCUCGAUGAAUAGCUGUUCUCUCUCUUGCAUCAUGGCUAUACCUCCAUGGGUUGGUAAGGAGUCCUUUUUAUGUGAGAUUCUAUUUAAAAAGGGACGCGGGCGGCACUGUGGUCUAAACCACAGAGCCUAGGGCUUGCCGAUCAGAAGGUUGGUGGUUCGAAUCCCCGUGACAGCGUGAGCUCUCAUUGCUCAGUCCCUGCUCCUGCCAACCUAGCAGCUCAAAAGCAUGUCAAAGUAGAUAAAUAGGUACCGCUCCAGCGGGAAGGUAAAUGGUGUUUCCGUGUGCUGCUCUGGUUCACCAGAAGUGGCUUAGUUGUGCUUGCCACAUGACCCGGAAGCUGUACACUGGCUCCCUCGGCCAGUAAAGCGAGAUGAGCACCGCAACCCCAGAGUUGUCCGCAACUGGACCCAACAGUCAGGGGUCCCUUCAACUUUUACCUCUUUAAAAACAUGUACUGAUUUAACUCUUGGGUUUUGACUGCUCUAAGUAAUAACGGAGCAGCCUUUGCUUUCUCAUAAGGUCUGCCAUGCUUUUAUCCUUUAUACACACCAGAUUAAUUUAUUCUAGCCCUCCAUAUGCUAAUCAGCUCCUGAUGUGGCAUUGAGGAGAAGCAAAACAUGAAUCUUUUAGCAUGCAGAUGGGUUUCAAUCAGACAUGUUUUGGAGUAAGCGUGGGCUGGGAGCAUGGCUACGACUCCUGCCAACAGCAAAGCAAGGUUCAGAAUGAUCUGGUUACAGGUUGCUUAUCCACAAACAUCCCCACGGAACCUAUAAACAUCCCCCCCCCGCCCCUUAGUUUGCUUGUCAUAAAAUACCCAGGGAGUGUAACUCUGCCAGUGUUGCUUGCACUGCCUGGAAAUACUGUCAAUCUGCAGCAAAGCAGCUUCAGGCAGAGAGAGAGAGAGAGAGAGAGAGAGAGAGAGAGAGAGAGAGAGAGAGAGGGAGAGAAUAUACUUGCAGACUGGAUCAUUUCAACAUGUUGCCACAUAAUAUUUUGUGGAGUACUUAGUGAGAACCAUUUUCUCAAUGAGAACAUUAAUAUUUCUGGGAACUUUUGCUAUCUUCUCUAAUGCUGCUAUGUACUGAAGUUCUCACCCUGGGCCAGCAGGGGGAUACUGUAGAUAGUUAUGCAAAUGAAGGAUCGAAAGUGACGUUCAGUGAUUGGAUGGAUACUGUAGAUAGUUAUGCAAAUAAGGGAUCAAAAGUGACGUUCAGUGAUUGGUUAGUUUUAGAAAAUUGUUACAGUUAUGUUGUACUGGAGCUCUAUAUAAGCAGGCUGACUGAACCCUUCAGUUCAGUUCUGUUCUGGCCUGUGAGUAAACAAGAGCUGUUUGAAGAAUCGCUGUGUCGUCUGAUAUGUUCACCCACAACUUAACAAGUGCCGCCUCUCUCUUCUGCGGAGAGAAGUACAGUGGUACCUCUGGAUGCGAACAGGAUCCGUUCCGGAGCCCCGUUCGCAUCCUGAGCAGAACGCAACCUGCGUCUGCGCGUGCGCGGCUCAUGAUUCACCGCUUCUGUGCAUGCGCACGACGUCAUUUUGAGUGUCUGCGCAUGCACAAGUGGUGAAACCUGGAAGUAACACGUUCUGUUACUUCCGGGUCACCGGGGAGCGUAACCUGAAAAUGUUCAACCUGAAGCGACUUUAACCUGAGGUAUGACUGUAUUAUCUGUAUAGAAAUGGCUCUUUCGGAGAUGAUUCUCCCGUGACAGAGAAUCAUAGAAUUGUAGAGUUGGAAGGGACCACGAGGCUCAUCUAGUCCAACCCAAUGCAAUGCAGGAGUCUUUUUGCCCAACGUGGGGUUCAAACCCAUGACUCUGAGAUUAAGAGUCUCAUGCCCUACCGACUGAGCUAUCCCAAGAAUGUUUGCUGUUUGUAAUAGCAGAUAUAAUGAAGACAGAGAAACAGUCUUCUAUGGAAGCAAAAGCCCAGGUUAUACAAGAACAGAAUCAUUUUAUAAAACUUCCUUUGGAGUGAAUCAUUUCAGGUCACAGGUAUGGUUUUUCUCAUGUUUGAAUACUCCCACAUGGGGUUGGGAAUCCCUGCAAAUAGAUAAACAUCUGGUGAGGAGGAAGGUUAGGCAGAACCUAUCUCCCUAAGAUACUAGUAUCAGCACAGCAUGGUUUGUUUGUUUGUUUGUUUGUUUGUUUGUUUGUUUGUUUUUAAAAGGAAAGUAAAGAUUCUGCAGUCUCCAUGUACAGCCUGAAUGGUAUAGGCCAGGCAUAGGCAAACUCGGGCCUCCAGAUGUUUUGGGACUACAGCUCCCAUCAUCCCUGACCACUGGUCCUGUUAGCUAGGGAUCAUGGGAGUUGUAGUCCCAAAACAUCUGGAGGGCUGAGUUUGUCUAUGCCUGGUAUAGUCCAAAGUUAGCUUUACCACUUGAUUGGAUAAACUGGUCCACAGAGAGCUAGGAGUGGGAAAUGAGAGUAUUGAUGAAGGCAUGCUUUUGAGGUGAGAACAGGAGAUCAAGGAGGUGAAAAUUGAACUGCUGGUAAAACCCUGGAUCUGAAAUUAAACUAGGGCGCUGGAAACUCUGCCCUUCUUUUGUGCAUAGACUGACUUUGUACAUUUCACGAGAGGCUAUAGUUAGUGGAGAAACAUAGUUGCUGAAUUAUAAAUAGCGCAAAGGUUUAAAGCUCAGCCUUGGCAGGCUUAUAUGUUUAUUGUUUUUUUCUUAAUUCUUUACAGACAUUAUAUUUUAUUUAGUCAGUUUGCCUCAUGCCCUUCCUCCCAAAGGAGUUAAGAGUGGUAAGCCUCAGAAUGUAACACUGGGUAGUAUUCAGCUAUGUUGAGCAGACCCACAGAAAUUAAUGGACAUGGCUUCGUUGUGCUCAUUAGCUUCAAUCGGUCUACUCUAAAACUUAGCUGAAUGCCAUUUAAAAUAAGAUAAAGACAUGCCUAAAAGCAUUUAAAUAAUGAGCUUUUUAUUGGAGCGAGUUCUUAACUCUUUGGUGCAUCAGUUAAAAAUACCGUAUUUUUUGCACCAUAACACUCACUUUUUUCCUCCUAGAAAGUAAGGGGAAAUGUCUGUGUGUGUUAUGGAGGGAAUGCCUACGGGUGCUGGGGGGGAUCUGCUGCAGUCGUGAGCAGAGGAUCCAUGGUUCCCCUUCCUUCCCUCCUCCGUGGCUCGCUUUGAAACAGCAAAGCGGGAGAAGAGUCGCUGAGUGGGGAGGAGAGAGGGACAGAGAGCCUGCUUGCUUUAAAGGAGCAAAGCGGGAGAGGAGAGGAGCCUUCUCCCCUUAUACCCCUCUUCUUCAUUAUUAGCAGCAUCCUUCUCCACCCACCCCACGCAUGCUCCUUGUCCCUUGAGUGCUUUUCCUUCCCUCCCCACUUAAAACGUGGUUACAAAGCACGGAUCCACAUGGAUCCUCAGGAUUUUUGCAUUGGGCUACUCCAAACUCACUGUCAGAUCACAUGUCUGUGGCCACAGCAUGAACCACAAAAAUCAUACAUCCACUGUUUCGUUUAGAAUAUUUUUUUUCUUGUUUUCCUCCUCUAAAAACUACGUGCGUGUUAUGGUCGGGUGCGUGUUAUAGAGCGAAAAAUACAGUAAUAAUAAUUAAAGUGUCACAUGUCCGAACUCCAGUUUUUUGGGGGGAAAUUGACCAUUUUCUCUUCAUUAGACAUUGUUGGAAAAUACAGUGUGUGUGUGUGUGUGUGUGUGUGUGUGAACAAAGGGGGAAGUGGUAUUUGCAAUCUUGGUAUGCGCUUACCCACAGCAUCCUUGGGCAAAUGUGAAUACCUCACCUAUUACCAGCACUGCCUGCACCUGUUUUUAAAAGGACACACUGUGGGGCAAGGCAGAAUCAAUCUGCAAUGAGCUUCUAUUUCAGAAAUGAAACCUGCUUCUCAAGAAGUGCUUUACAGGGGCAAAAAGAUAUACUAGAUCAGGCUUCCUCAACCUUGGCCCUCCAGAUGUUUUGGCCUACAACUCCCAUGAUCCCUAGCUAGCAGGACCAGUGGUCAGGGAUGAUGGGAAUUGUAGUCUCAAAACAUCUGGAGGGCCGUGGUUGAGGAAGCCAGUACUAGAUUACUAGAUACUAUUUUAGAUUGUGUGUGGACUAUGUAGAGAGGAAAAGUGCUGAGUUUGCAUUGAUUCUAGAAGUAAAUGUCAUUUGUCUGUGACCGCUGUCAACCACAGAAAGACAAUCCAACUGCCCGCCACUAAACUAAACCAAAACAAUCAGACUCAGUUUGAGGCUGAUCUUCUAGCAUGGCUUUUUUUUAUCAAAAUGAACAUGCCUGCAUUUCUGUUUAGCGAUGGAUAGUGCCCUCCAGCUGGUUAGAAGCUGGAGUGUAAUUAUAUUGUUAUGAGUUUGUGAGUGCCAAACCCCUUUAAUCCCUGGACCCAGUAAGUGUCAAAACUUAAUCAAGGCUUGGGGUGUUAAAAUGGGGGCCAGACCAUUCUAAUCCCUGGUUCCAGCAACUGUUCAAAGCUAAAUAAGCCAGGCUAGUUUCCGGUGUUGAGGUGAUUGCUUGCGUGAUGGACUAUUAUGGGGGGGAAAGAGAAGGUGAUGGGCCAAUAAGAAAGCAAAUAAAAGGGGGCUCUGUGUCAGAUGGCAAAUGGGUGGAGCCCCUCCUCCAGCUCUUAAAUAGCGAGGACAAAAGUCAGCGUUUAGAGUUGAAAGGGUGUGUGAGCUGACUUCGAGGGAAAAGUGGCAGACUGGAAAAAGCAGAGAGUGAGCAAGCCAUGACAGAUCUUUGCUUGAAUUCAAGGCUGCAGCUAUGAGAGAAGGAGACCCUUUCGGUGUGUUGUUGCUGUGAACCCCUCCAUCAUAGGCCCAGCUUCUAUAUAUGUGUAAAUAAACCUUAUAUCCUAAAGACACCACAGUCUCUGCAGAGCAUCAUUUCAAAAAGGCAACAUGGACCCUGAGUAAGUACCUAGAACUCCUAGAAUCUCACAGCGCUUGGAGACUAGAAUGGCGUACAACAAUAUUUUACACAAAAGUGACUUUUGGCAGGACCUGCCAAAGCUUAGUCUGAGUUGCUUCCACAGUUUCUCAAACCACUUGGCUCCAAACAGUAAAUUCAAGGUUUCUCCGGAAGGUCCAAACUCUUGCUCUGGUAAGAUUUAUGGUGGCCCCACAAACAAACCACCCUCCUCUAUCAGAAGCAAAGCCUCGCUCUUCCCCUCCCUGUGUCUUAUGUCUAUCUCUUCUCCAGUGGAAAUGGGGAAACAGAAAGGAGGUCCGCUUUCCACUCUACAAGCAAGCAAGCAAGCAAACACAAACUCUGGAUCCCUCUCCCCAUCAAAUGGCAAUGAUUUUUCUGGUGCCAUCAUAACUGAAGAAAAUGCAAACAAAAGCCCACGUAGCAGUCAGUCGAUUGGGUUUGGAGUCUGCUUUUCUUUUUCAGUUUUCCCGGGAUUGGAAAAAUCUGAAUUCACUGUACAAAAAAAGGGCUGGUGGUUUCUGAAUAAGGGCAAUAUUGUAUGAAUGAUGCCCAGAAAUAUUGGACUCAAACAGCCUCAAAGUCCAGUAUGGAAAAGCCCUUAGGAGCGGCUCUCUUCCCUGUCAGGUCUGGAGUUUUACAAUUUAGAGCAGAGCUUGCAUCUUUUUCUCAGAAAUGCAAGAAGCUCCCUAAAGGCCUAUGCUAAUAUAAACUGAUGCAAGAGCCUUGCCAGCUUGCCUCUGCCAGCCAGUUUUUAGCAAUAAUAAUUUAUUAUGUCACGAUCUUGAAAGGCUAAAAGGGAUUUGUGCACUGUAAAUAUCAUGUUGUUAUAUCUCCUAUGUUUUUAAUCAUUUAUGUGCUUGUAUUCUAAGCGCUGGCUGGUUUCUCUUGCUAGCUUGUACUUCUAUAGGAAUAUAAAUCUUUCACCACAUACUAUUUCUGUUCCGCCGCUUAGAAGAAAAAUCCCUGUGUUAAUUAUGCACAACCUACAUAGAGAGACAGCCAAGAGCUGUGUUUGUUAAAAGGUGAAGAGUUUAGGGACAGGACGAAUUUUUCACCCUGACUCAAAUUAAGGGAGAAGAAGCUGGGGCAGCCUCGCUCGGAAGUCCCAGGGCCACAUUAGCAUCCUGAAGCCUCUGGCGCAGGGAACAAGUUCUUGAGAAAAGGCUUAGCCCAGUGCAGUCCAUAAACAUUCCUCGGCUCGUGAAGCCCUUGUCUUGUGGCAUCUGGCUUUAUGAAUCCCAUUAAUGCCAGCUUGCUCACGCAAAGCCUCAGAGGGAACCUAACAAAGCUCUCUAUGCCCAUUCAGAGUGAAGUAAAUCCAUUCCAGAUGCUACAAUCCAUUCCUUAUGCUGGGAGUGGCAGAAAGCAUUUUUUUGUACUAUCCACCAAAACAUUUUGGUGAGGCGCCUCCCUCCAACAUUCCUCAGGUGAAAAGAGGGACAUUUUUCAGUUCCCCUGACCCUCCACAACACCCCAUUUUUAUGUCUCUUUCCUUCACAGAACAGAGUGGUGCAUGCUCUAGUUAUCUCCCACUUGGACACAGUGUUGCAACCCCCAGAGCAGAGAACAGGUGGGAGCAUGGCUGGCGCGUGUCCCAGGGGUGUAGCGCGCCACCCACGGAGGUGUGGCUAGUGGCGUUGGGGUGUGGUGCAUCACCACGGGGUUUGGUGCAUCGGUGUGGCACAUCAGCGCGGGGGCAUGGCGCUCGUCCAGGGUUGCGUGGCAUGCAGCCCAGGUGGGCUCAGCAUGCGCCAUGCAUCCUGAGGGGUGGCAGCGAUGCCACCCUUUCCCCAAAUGGUGCCCGGGGCGGUGCACUCCCCCGUCCUCCCCUCGUACACCAGUGCUUGGACUACUGCAAUGCGCUCUGCGUGGGUGGGGCUACCUUUGAAGGUGACCCGGAAACUACAACUAAUCGAGAAUUCAGCAGCUAGACUGGUGACUGGGAGUGGCUGCCAAGACCAUAUAACACCAGUCCUGAAAGACCUACAUUGGCUCCCAGUAUGUUUCUGAGCACAAUUCAAAGUGUUGGUGCUGACCUUGAAAGCCCUAAACAGCCUCGGCCCAGUAUACCUGAAGGAGCGUCUCUACCCCCAUUGUUCAGCCCAGACACUGAGGUUCGGCUUCUGGCAGUUCCCUCACUGCGAGAUUUGAGGUUACAGGGAACCAGGCAGAGGGCCUUCUCGGUAGUGGCACCCACCCUGUGGAAUGCCCUCCAACCAGAUGUCAAGGAGAUAAACAACUAUCUGACUUUCAGAAGACAUCUGAAGGCAGCCCUAUAUAGGGAAGUUUUUAAUGUUUGAUGUUUUAUAGUGUUUUUAAUAUUCUGUUGGGAGCUUCCUAGAGUGGCUGGGGAAACUCAGCCAGAUGGGCAAGGUAUAAGUAUUAUUAUUAUUAUUAUUAUUAUUAUUAUUAUUAUUAUUACUAUUAUUUUAUUUCCUGUCAGAAGAAGGGCGAGUGCCACCACCAUUAUAUCACCCUCCACCAUCCUGAGAAAAACCCUUAAUCCUGAUUUUAUUUUAUACCUUGGUAGAUUUACAAAAAGAAAAAGAAACAUACCAAUAAAUAAAUUUUAGAAAGGGGCAAGGUUACAUGUGGACGCACAAAGCAUUUUUUGUUUUAAAAAAUCAAGACUCCUUGUGCUUUGCUCCCCCUUUCUUCCUGCCCAAGUCAGCCCUGUCCUCUGCCUGCUCCUCAGAGAUAGAACAUCACACAGGGCUGGUCCUUGUUGGUGGCAACAUCUCUUCCUUCUUGCCUGCUCUCCAGUAGCUUGAGAGCCAGUGUGGUGUAGUGGUUAAGAGCGAUAGUCUCGUAAUCUGGGGAACCGGGUUCGCGUCUCCGCUCCUCCACAUGCAGCUGCUGGGUGACCUUGGGCUAGUCACACUUCUCUGAAGUCUCUCAGCCCCACUCACCUCACAGAGUGUUUGUUGUGGGGGAGGAAGGGAAAGGAGAAUGUUAGCCGCUUUGAGACUCCUUAAAGGGAGUGAAAGGUGGGGUAUCAAAUCCAAACUCUUCUUCUUCUUCUUCAGCUUCUACAACCUGCCUAAGGGAGCAGCUAAGGGAGGAGGCCAGCAGCAGAGGCAAUGGAGAAGCAAUAGGAAGCUUCCUCACAGCUGCCACUACCACCAUCACUCGGGACAAGCGUCCGCUCAUCCUCCUCCCUGAGCUCAGCGGUGGGGGCACUGGAAAUAGAUGCAUUCUGGGAUCAAAUCAGAAGCUGGGAUGGCUUUCAGAAUUCUGGGACUGUCCCUGGAAAAUCAAGACACUUGGAGGGCGUGUUAUAGGGUGGCAGGAGUAUCGGAUUGGAUUUCUGGGUGCACCACACUCCCUGCCCCACUUCCAGUUAACUGGCACCAAUUGCUUUUUCUUUCCUUUCUGCAGCUGUCUCGCUAAUUUAUUUUGUUAGUGUGGCUUAAGGCUUGCCCUGGGCUUUUCCCUAGGAAAACCCUCAGUUUAGCACUGAAUGGGAACAUAUAGAGCUUUUUGGGGAUCACCAUUUGUUCUGAUUUAGUGCUAAGGGUGGGUUUUUCCAGGGGAAAGCAGCGGGGCAAAGGCAGACCUGUGCCUGGAAAGCAUGGGACCUGCGUUUUCUGGGUAUGGGGCAAGCAGAAGUAUGGGCAAGCCCUUGCUUGAGAUGUCAUUCCGCAGUGUUCUUCAGCCUUGUGCUUGCCCUUGAAAUAUGCUCAGAGUCCUGCAGUGAUUUAUUGCAGCUCUUUAUUGCAGCUUGUAAAACAGGGAUUGACUUGCCCCCCAAACCUCAGGCUUUUAUAUACAUUAUUUACACAAUGAGUCCCGUCUGAUUGGCUGAUUCUGCUUCCCUCCUGGAGCCUGAUUGGUCUUUUCCUGCAGGCCAAUCAGUUGUUGCAUUCUAGGAUCCUACUUGCCUAUUGUUCUAGGAUCCAAGCUUAGUACAUAACAGCCCUGAAAAUGAAUUGGGCCCUUAGGCAUUCCAUUUGACUGAUGCUUUCAAUUUCCACUGGGGAUUAUGGGGGUUGCAAUUUCACGCUUAUGCUCCCCGUGGGAAAAGCCGAUGCCAAUGUCACAAUGCUGGCACUGCCUUCACUUUGCAAACAGUUAAGGGAAAUAAGUGAUUUUCAAAAGAGGAGGGAAAUCCCCUCCCUGAUCCCGACCGACUUUCUUUCUUUCUUUCUUUCUUUCUUUCUUUCUUUCUUUCUUUGCUACACUUCUGCUGUUUGUAAAUUCGCCACAUCUGUUUUGCUGUUUUGACAGUCAUUUUUAUUUUUCUUGAUGCACUCCAACUCAAACGGUAUCAGCUAUUUGGGAGAUCACCAAACAGAUGUGUUGACAAUGUGUAGUCAAUCAGACUAUUUAAAUAAAAAAUGCUUUCAGAAUGAA
This is a non-coding RNA of Podarcis lilfordi (Lilford's wall lizard), 14952 nucleotides long. Lineage: Eukaryota; Metazoa; Chordata; Lepidosauria; Squamata; Lacertidae. The record is from the annotation of a GenBank genome assembly.